This is a long non-coding RNA of Sus scrofa (pig), 432 nucleotides long. RefSeq lists it as uncharacterized. The record is from RefSeq and is a predicted model, not a curated record. Lineage: Eukaryota; Metazoa; Chordata; Mammalia; Artiodactyla; Suidae.
GGCCCGUUUUUAUACACCAGUGAAAACCCGGGAAUGAGUUCGUGCAUUCAAGUGACUGCGAUGAGAAGAGCAGGAUAUUCCUCCCGGGUUUCACUAGAAGCAAAGCGUCCUGAGGCCUGGUGCCUUCAGUGCCUUCACAAAGACCCCCUUCUCUGCUUUAAGUGAAAGCUAGAGGAAUGAAGGGCACUUGGCCUGGGAGACCACCCAAGAACAGUGCUUCGUUCAUCACCCGGAGACAGUGGCCUGUUCAAAAGAGGAUUUCUCAACUUUAGAAGGAUGAUUCUGGCUGUGGUGUUGAGAAGAGACUCCAGCGAGGAUGGAAGUUGAGACAAACGUGGCAGCAAGAAGACCCUCUAAGGAGCUACGGCAAUAGUAAGGAUUGGCAGUGGCUUGGGAGAGCCACCGUAUCGUCUCUGUGUCAAUGGAGAAGGU